AUUGAAGUUAGAAAAGAUUGGUGUUUAUAUGUCAUUAGUACAUGCUUAUAAGUUAUGUUAUANUNAUGUACAUGUUUAAAGGUACAUAUAGGUUAUAUAUGUUAUGAUUGUAUAUAUUGUCUUGUAAAACAAUGUAUGUCAUGACUCAUAUUAGACUACUCAACGAUUAUAUUUUGAAAUAUCAUUGUACAAAUAAUUUUUAUUCAUACAUUAAAGUAAUGAACAUUCUUUCUGAGA
RNAcentral lists this long non-coding RNA (237 nucleotides) under Vigna radiata. RNAcentral describes it as "long non-coding RNA (VRAD_LNC003659)". Lineage: Eukaryota; Viridiplantae; Streptophyta; Magnoliopsida; Fabales; Fabaceae. The record is from RNAcentral.